This 460-nucleotide ribosomal RNA is filed under the name uncultured bacterium. RNAcentral's name for it is "partial 16S ribosomal RNA". It matches the Rfam family "Bacterial small subunit ribosomal RNA", at positions 338 to 795 of the family's 1533-position model. The record is from RNAcentral.
CCUACGGGAGGCAGCAGUGAGGAAUAUUGGUCAAUGGACGAGAGGCUGAACCAGCCAAGUAGCGUGAAGGAUGACUGCCCUACGGGUUGUAAACUUCUUUUAUAAAGGAAUAAAACGAGGCACGUGUGCCUCUUUGCAUGUACUUGAUGAAUAAGGAUCGGCUAACUCCGUGCCAGCAGCCGCGGUAAUACGGAGGAUCCGAGCGUUAUCCGGAUUUAUUGGGUUUAAAGGGAGCGUAGAUGGGUUGUUAAGUCAGUUGUGAAAGUUUGCGGCUCAACCGUCAAAUUGCAAUUGAUACUGGCAGUCUUGAGUACAGUUGAGGUACGCGGAAUGCGUGGUGUAGCGGUGAAAUGCUUAGAUAUCGCGAAGAACCCCGAUUGCGAAGGCAGCGUACUAACCUGUGACUGACAUUGAUGCUCGAAAGUGUGGGUAUCAAACAGGAUUAGAUACCCGAGUAGUC